Molecule: RNase P RNA, 376 nt
Filed under: Bifidobacterium bombi DSM 19703
Lineage: Bacteria; Bacillati; Actinomycetota; Actinomycetes; Bifidobacteriales; Bifidobacteriaceae
Description: Bacterial RNase P class A
Rfam family: Bacterial RNase P class A
About the family: Ribonuclease P (RNase P) is a ubiquitous endoribonuclease, found in archaea, bacteria and eukarya as well as chloroplasts and mitochondria. Its best characterised activity is the generation of mature 5'-ends of tRNAs by cleaving the 5'-leader elements of precursor-tRNAs.
Source: Rfam by way of RNAcentral
UGAGACCUCUUGAUGAUCGCGGCUGGACCACCAUAGGGAAAAGCUGAGGAACUUCCGGGCUCCAAAGGGCAACGAUGGCGGAUAACGUCCGCCCAGGGUGACCUGAGAGACAGCGCCACAGAGAACAGACCGCCCGACUUCAGCCGGGUAAGGGUGAAACGGCGGUGCAAGAGACCACCGGGCCGCUGGUAACAGCGACCGCACGGCAAGCCUCAUCGGGAGCAAGGCCAAGUAGAAGGAAUGCAGAAUUUGCGCUGGGCUGCCCGCCCAGUCCUUCGGGUAGGCUGCUAGAGCCCUGCGGUAACGCAGGGUCGAGAUGGAUGAUCAUCCGUGCGGAGACGCACGACAAAACCCGGGGUAUAAGAGGUCUCAUUCC